This is a long non-coding RNA of Oncorhynchus tshawytscha (Chinook salmon), 1908 nucleotides long. NCBI's taxonomy places the organism in Eukaryota, Metazoa, Chordata, Actinopteri, Salmoniformes, Salmonidae. The record is from Ensembl.
UGGGCAAGUCGGUUAAGAACAAAUUCUUAUUUACAAUAAUGGCCUAGGAACAGUGGGUUAACGCCCUUGUUCAGGGGCAGAAUCACAGAUGUUUACCUUGUCAGCUCGGGGAUUCGAUCUCGCAACCUUUCGGUUACUGGCACAAUGCUCUAACCACUAGGCUACCUGCCGCCCCAAACUUAACAGUUAGGCUAUUGAUUAUAGACCUAAUGAAGAUGGGGUUUCCUCCUUCCUCGUCCUUCAGUUCUAAUCACUGCCAAAGAUGACUAUAAUAUGUAUUGAAUCAGGGGUGUUAAUUCUUAUGUAAAUGAUACAUUGCUGUAUUUAAUUUUCAAUAAAUUUGCUAACUUCUAAAAACAUGUUUAAACUUGUAUCAGAUAUUGUGUGUAGAUGAGUGAGAAAAAUCUGUAAUCCAUUUUGAAUUCAGGCUGUAACAACAAAAUCUGGAAUAAAUCAAGGGGUAUGAAUACUUUCUGAAGGCUCUGUAUCAGAGGCCUGCAACACCUGUUCUGGACAGCCCGUCCACAUGGUGUGCAGGCUCUUGUUCCAUACCAGCACUAACACAGUGGGUUCAGCUAAAUCAAAUAACCAUAAUCCUCAAUUUAGUCCUUAUUACUUGACAUUCGUAUGGGUAUGAAUACGUUCUAAAAGCACUGUAGCUAUGGCUUAUGAUAUGUCCCUUUUGUAUAACCAUGAUCUGUUUGAUAUGCUAAUGCCCUCCUUUGUCAUGUUUAGUCCUGGCAGUCUCAUACAUGUGUAACUAUAUGUUAAGCCUAGUCAUAUGGCAUUACUUCAUGAUGUAUGCACCUUUUUUGAUGUGUUCCUAAUGCGUUUCUCUAGUCUUCUAGACCGCCACUUCCUACCUUACCGUGCUACCGGCCUUUUCAAGCCCCAACUCCAACCCUUCCCCCAUGUGCAACUGUGUUUAUUAUAAAUACCCUCAACGUGGAUUAUCAACCUCCAUCUCCUAAAUGUGUUCUGACCGAUGCUGCAACACCCCGGAACUAGCCUAUACAGUCCACAUAGUCCUUUUAUUUUUGAAAUCGUAGCUACUGUAAGUAGUAUAGCUAGUACUAACUAAUGUGGGUGGGUCUACAUUGGGGCUAUUGAAGUGAUGAGAAAAAAAUGUAAUGUCGACUUCUAGCUAAUCUCGGUUACCCAGAAGUAAAUUAUCGCUAAACCUUAGGUGGUGGAAAAUAGUUCAGGACUGUUGCUCCUCUUCAUCACUGCUAGUAAACAAAACAAGCUAACGUUAGCUAGCUAACAGUAGAUAGGUUGUUGGCCCUCAGUAGCGGUUAAUCUUCCAAUGAGGUUUUCACUGGCGAUUGAUAAUGGAAGCCAGACUUUAUUCACGCUCAUAAAUAGUUCAACAGAUCAUAAACUCACCUUUAAAAAUAGCCCUUGUCGUCAGUUGCUUGGUUGAGUAAGGAAACGCGACGAAAAGAAGCAGGAACGUAAACUUCCGCCCGCGUUUCUAAAACGGAAGUGGCGUUAUAUUUGUGCUGCCGUCAGUUAGAUACUGUAGGUAUGGAGCCAGCAACUCAACGGCUUUCCAAUAAAUCAAAAAUAUAUAAGGCAGCUGCAAAUUACAUAGUAUUGAUACUUCUUCCACUACCAAAACGCUACAUAAUUAAAUAGUUAAACUCUAUUAAAAAAAAGGGGGCAGGACAGGCCAGUCAUACAUAGAGCAAGCUGGCAAAGUUAACUAGCAUCGUUAGCAUUGGUGUGUGGAUGUUUUGUUUGCAGCAGUGGUACUAACAUAUGAAUUACCAUGUGCCAUCAUUUGUUAGACAUCCAGAGUUUUUACCGGAUACUAAAGAAAUUAUUACAUGUUACCCAGAGUUGAAGUGAUAAUACAGGAAACCCUUCCCACACUGUGAGCAGUGAAAAGGCUUCUUUCCUGUGUUC